This 469-nucleotide ribosomal RNA is filed under the name uncultured bacterium. Its description in RNAcentral is "partial 16S ribosomal RNA". It matches the Rfam family "Bacterial small subunit ribosomal RNA", at positions 28 to 507 of the family's 1533-position model. The record is from RNAcentral.
GACGAACGCUGGCGGCGUGCUUAACACAUGCAAGUCGAACGGAAAGGCCCUGCUUGCAGGGUGCUCGAGUGGCGAACGGGUGAGUAACACGUGGGUGAUCUGCCCCUUACUUUGGGAUAAGCCUGGGAAACUGGGUCUAAUACUGGAUAGGACCAUGCUGUAGGUGGUGUGGUGGAAAGAUUAGUUUCGGUAAGGGAUGAGCUCGCGGCCUAUCAGCUUGUUGGUGGGGUAAUGGCCUACCAAGGCGUCGACGGGUAGCCGGCCUGAGAGGGUGGACGGCCACAUUGGGACUGAGAUACGGCCCAGACUCCUACGGGAGGCAGCAGUGGGGAAUAUUGCACAAUGGGCGCAAGCCUGAUGCAGCGACGCCGCGUGGGGGAUGACGGCCUUCGGGUUGUAAACUCCUUUCAGCCAUGACGAAGCCCAUGUGGUGACGGUAGUGGUAGAAGAAGCACCGGCUAACUACGUG